CCUACGGGAGGCAGCAGUGGGGAAUAUUGGGCAAUGGGCGCAAGCCUGACCCAGCAACGCCGCGUGAAGGCAGAAGGCUUUCGGGUUGUAAACUUCUUUUCUCAGGGACGAAGAAAGUGACGGUACCUGCGUAAUCAGCCACGGCUACCUACGUGCCAGACGCCGCGGUAAUACGUAGGUGGCAAGCGUUAUCCGGAUUUAUUGGGGGGAAAGGGCGUGUAGGCGGGAGCGUAAGUCAGCUGUGAAAACUCAGGGCUCAACCCUGAGCCUGCAUUUGAAACUGUGUUUCUUGAGUGCUGUAGAGGCAAGCGGAAUUCCGUGUGUAGAGGUGAAAUGCGUAGAUAUACGGAGGAACACCAGUGGCGAAGGCAGAUUGCUGGACAGUAACUGACGCUGAGGCGCGAAAGCGUGGGGAGCAAACAGGAUUAGAUACCCCGGUAGUC
Molecule: ribosomal RNA, 443 nt
Filed under: uncultured bacterium
Lineage: Bacteria
Description: partial 16S ribosomal RNA
Rfam family: Bacterial small subunit ribosomal RNA
Source: RNAcentral